This 411-nucleotide long non-coding RNA is filed under the name Ananas comosus (pineapple). Its description in RNAcentral is "long non-coding RNA (ACOM_LNC026752)". The record is from RNAcentral. Lineage: Eukaryota; Viridiplantae; Streptophyta; Magnoliopsida; Poales; Bromeliaceae.
AUCGUGUAUUUAUGAAUUGAUUCCUGGGUAAAUUCUUAUACAUGAUCAGUGGUUAGCCUUGGGCGGGCAGGGGAGGUCCUGUCCGUUCGGCGUCUGUUCGACGAGCCCGGGCCGAACCAAAUUGGUAACGGUCUCGGGGCGUGACAAUCUCUCUCUCUUUCUUCCCCUCCCCUCAUCUCCAGCUGGCUCCCACCACCUGAUCCUCUCUCUCCUCUCACUACGAUGCCUGCGCUCCUUUCGCCAUGUGAUGAGGUGUAGACCUAGAUGCCUAGGUCGGGUAGGUUCUAUAUGGCUUCUCUCUCUUACCCUAUACCCAUAUUUCUCUCUCUUUCUUCUCUCUCUCUAAUUUUCUCUCCCUACUUCUCUCGCUCUCUAUGCUUUCCCAUCAUGAGGUCUACGCCUACCUACGGA